This is a long non-coding RNA of Gasterosteus aculeatus aculeatus (three-spined stickleback), 520 nucleotides long. Lineage: Eukaryota; Metazoa; Chordata; Actinopteri; Perciformes; Gasterosteidae. The record is from Ensembl.
UUUUUUUUUUUUUUAAGGGCCUACUAAAUUUCCCCUAGGGGCUCAAUAAAGUACUUCUAUUCUAUGGCACCUCCAGCCACCUUCAGUCAUGCUCCACGGGCAGCAUAGGCUUGCAGCAACUUCCCUUAUUCACCACCACCAGUGUCUCGACUCCAGGGGGGAUUCUGUUGGAGCAGGACUUGGCAUUGCGGCCCCUUGAUUAUCCGGUUUGGGUUCAAAGACAUGCACAAUUCCAAUGUGACCGAUGGCGACUGGGGAAAGCAGUAUUAAGCUGAAGAGAACGAUGUUUGUUGUAACAGCUACUGUAGCAUGUACAUAUUUUGUAAUAUGUUACUGUUGAAUUAGUUCGUAUCACAUGCAAGAAAAAAAGUCUGCAUACAAGCUAAUAAACGUGUUUGCUGCUGUUUUUUUUCUUGACUCUUGAUUUAUUUACUGAUUUCUUUGCAAUAUUACCUCUAGCUAAAAUUGAAUGACUUAUCCAUUUUAAUUUUAAAUUACUGGAAAAUAUUCUUAUCAAAAC